Molecule: ribosomal RNA, 253 nt
Filed under: uncultured bacterium
Lineage: Bacteria
Description: partial 16S ribosomal RNA
Rfam family: Bacterial small subunit ribosomal RNA
Source: RNAcentral
UACGAAGGGGGCGAGCGUUGUUCGGAAUUACUGGGCGUAAAGGGCGCGUAGGCGGUGUGUCAAGUCAGGCGUGAAAGCCCCGGGCUCAACCUGGGAACGGCGCCUGAGACUGGCACGCUCGAGUUCGGGAGAGGAUGGUGGAAUUCCCAGUGUAGAGGUGAAAUUCAUAGAUAUUGGGAAGAAUACCGGUGGCGAAGGCGGCCUGCUGGGCAGUGGCUGACGCUGAGGCGCGACAGCGUGGGGAGCAAACAGG